This 75-nucleotide transfer RNA is filed under the name Marmota monax (woodchuck). Its description in RNAcentral is "tRNA.Ala". The record is from RNAcentral. Lineage: Eukaryota; Metazoa; Chordata; Mammalia; Rodentia; Sciuridae.
GGGGUUGUGGCUUAGUGGUAGAGCGCUAGCCUAGCAUGUGCAUGUGCCAGACGCCAGGUUCCAUCCUCAGCACCA